This is a microRNA precursor of Oryza rufipogon (brownbeard rice), 193 nucleotides long. It matches the Rfam family "MIR812 microRNA precursor family". The record is from Rfam. NCBI's taxonomy places the organism in Eukaryota, Viridiplantae, Streptophyta, Magnoliopsida, Poales, Poaceae.
CCUGGUUUCCGUGUUCAACGUUUGACCAUCCGUCUUAUUUAAAAAAAAUAUAAAAAAAAUAAAAAGACAAGUCAUGUAUAAAGUAUUAAUCAUGUUUUAUCAUCUAACAAUAAUGAAAAUACUAAUUAUAAAAAAAAUUCAUAUAAGACGGACAGUUAAAUAUUGGACACGAAAAUCAAGGGUUUAUCUUUUU